Molecule: long non-coding RNA, 1122 nt
Filed under: Columba livia (rock pigeon)
Lineage: Eukaryota; Metazoa; Chordata; Aves; Columbiformes; Columbidae
Description: partial uncharacterized LOC102097204, transcript variant X2
Source: RNAcentral
AUCAGAGGAACCUCGCGUCUCUUGGCUGACGGUUGUCAUGAGUGGACAGAGAGACAACUGGAUUUGGCUUCAACUUGCCUGGUGCUGAGCACUCACUGAGUGGCCUGAACCUCCUUCAGAGCUGGAGAAGAAGCUCCCAGGGUACCAGAUCCAUCAUGCAGCCCCAUCCUGUGUCUAGGAUGGGGUUGGUUAGAUGGGCCAACCCUGCUGAGUUUCCAACCUUCAAACCCCGUCGUAUCCAGCUGGAUGGGAGCGAGCUUGCCAAGGGGAAGUGUUCGUCCUUUGCUCUUUUUUUGGUUUUCUGAGAGGCCCAUGAUUGUUGCGGAUGCCAAGCAGCCCCUGACCUUCACCUGACUGGAGUUUCCAGCUGCUACUGUUAUUACAGCAUGUCUGCCGGAUACAAAUUCAGCUUGAUUCCUUGUACCCAGAAAUUUUAUAUGACAAAUGGGUCUCGUUUCUGAUUCUUGUCUCCCUUUGAUGGACCAGACUGACUGCUACCUGUGAGACCUUCGUACAUCUGCAAGGCAGGAAGGAAGCGUUACAUUUCUCUGCAUUACCUCCUAUUAGCAGUCUGCCAGAGACACUGAUCCAGCAUCUGAAUUUCAGUCAGGGAUCCGUGCAGCAGUUUAUUCAGAGGAAGGAGCUGGUCACCCCACUGCCUGGAGUGCCCCAAGGAGGUGGAAACCAGAGCAGGACUUGCUGGGCACAGAAAGUCUUCACAUCGUGAUGGAGAGUGCAGCCUUGGAACCACCGGAGCAGCCACUGAAGCACAAGCACACGAGAGACCUGAGCUCCUCUCACAGAUGCGUGGCUCUUUCUGCGUGAGGUGUUCUCCAUGAUGAACAAGAAGGUGGUGUGGUGACAAAAAGAAGGAAGCUCUGAAGGAAGAACACAAGUCUGGGAGCCACCCAGGCUGCCUGCACGGCCUGCUGCCUCCUUCAGCUUCCUGGGACAGGAGGGAGCAGCACCCAGCAAAAGCAACUUGCAGGACAUAAACCGUUGCAGUGGGAGACAGCACGUCGCGUGGGAAUGCGAGAGCUCCCCAGCCAGUCAGGCUGGGUCUGCAGCAUCUGAGCAAGGAAGGGACUUGAAUGAAGAAAAGGGAUGCAGGAUUAAAAAGGG